This is a long non-coding RNA of Triticum dicoccoides, 998 nucleotides long. RefSeq lists it as uncharacterized. The record is from RefSeq and is a predicted model, not a curated record. The transcript is spliced from 2 exons. NCBI's taxonomy places the organism in Eukaryota, Viridiplantae, Streptophyta, Magnoliopsida, Poales, Poaceae.
UUGAGAUUCACAACAGCUAGUGUGUCCGUGAGCUUCUCUCUUCCAUGUGCGUGUGUGUGUAAGCAGCACUAGUGAGUGUGUGUGCUUUGCUAGUGUGCUGAGCGCAGGCAGUAGUAGCACUUGGCUCUUCCACCGGUCGUGUAUCAGUGUACUCGAGUGCUAGCGAGUAGUUCUGGGCUAACAUGGCAAACACCCUGAAGGGCGUUGGCCUGGAUGCUGCCGGCGAGGUGCGUCGCUACCCAUGUCGGAGAUGAGAAAUUCACUAUAGCGAGCAGCAAGCAGCGACCACAUCGGCCGAAAGAAAAGCCAAUGCUUCCUCGGGAUCACCGGGGAUGGAUGCAACUCCUCGCAGUGGACGUGGAUGCCGAUGCUUCCCCAGGACAACGGAUGCAUCUUGAGUUCGGGCACACCGCGACAACCGACAUUCAUGGUGAAGGCGGACGACAGCGGUUGCGCCCACACCGGCGGCCUCAUCGACGUGUUGCCAGUGGCGGCAGUCAAAGCAGCGCGAGGAGGCGUCACCUUAACGGGGAGCUUGGGAGGAGCACGGUUGACCACUGCUCUCGUGGGGAUCCAGAUUCAGAUCCCGCACACACACCAGUUGAUACAGCCACGCCUGGUCCUACUACCAUGCAUGCGGUUGGAUUAAUGGUGCAAAAGUGUGUUGUGUUCAACCAUGACUUAAGCCAAGCUUCGUUUGAGACCCACAAGGAGGAAAGGUUUAAAUUGCUUUUGUAUUUCUUGUUGAGAUCAACAAGCCCGCAACAUGAGGAGUUCCAUGCGUACGUGCUACGAGAAGAUAAGAAGAUGAGCUGGUUUGAAAGGAACAAAAUCGAUAUAUAUUUCUUGUUUUAUUUCUUACCAUGCAAGGAGUACAACACGAUGGUUAUGAGAACCUAUACGUGUGAUCUGCUUUCCUUGAAGGAAUCCGGUUGGGGCCCACCUGGCAAACUAGAUGUAAAUGCACCAACUUUAUUAGAGUCAAGUCAAAUUAGUUU